This 253-nucleotide ribosomal RNA is filed under the name uncultured bacterium. Its description in RNAcentral is "partial 16S ribosomal RNA". It matches the Rfam family "Bacterial small subunit ribosomal RNA", at positions 524 to 776 of the family's 1533-position model. The record is from RNAcentral.
UACGUAGGGACCGAGCGUUGUCCGGAUUCAUUGGGCGUAAAGAGCUCGUAGGCGGCCACUCAAGUCGAAUGUGAAACCUCGAGGCUUAACCUCGAGCCUGCAUUCGAUACUGGGCGGCUAGAGUCUGGUAGGGGGAUCUGGAAUUCCUGGUGUAGGGGUGGAAUGCGCAGAUAUCAGGAGGAACACCGGUGGCGAAGGCGGGAUCCUGGGCCAGUACUGACGCUGAGGAGCGAAAGCGUGGGGAGCAAACAGG